CAGCCGCCGCGGUAAUACGUAGGUGGCAAGCGUUGUCCGGAAUUAUUGGGCGUAAAGGGCUCGCAGGCGGUUUCUUAAGUCUGAUGUGAAAGCCCCCGGCUCAACCGGGGAGGGUCAUUGGAAACUGGGAAACUUGAGUGCAGAAGAGGAGAGUGGAAUUCCACGUGUAGCGGUGAAAUGCGUAGAGAUGUGAGGAACACCAGUGGCGAAGGCGACUCUCUGGUCUGUAACUGACGCUGAGGAGCGAAAGCGUGGGGAGCGAACAGGAUUAGAUACCCGUGUAGUCCCUGUCUCUUAUACC
This 301-nucleotide ribosomal RNA is filed under the name uncultured bacterium. RNAcentral describes it as "partial 16S ribosomal RNA". It matches the Rfam family "Bacterial small subunit ribosomal RNA", at positions 509 to 808 of the family's 1533-position model. The record is from RNAcentral.